AGCGAACGUUUGCGGCGGGCCUAACACAUGCAAGUCGAACGCACUAGCAAUAGUGAGUGGCGCACGGGUGCGUAACACGUGGGUAAUCAACCCUUCAGCCUGGGAUAACGACUCGAAAGGGUCGCUAAUACCGGAUACGGCGCGAGAGGCUUCGGCUUCUCACGAGAAAGCCACGCAAGGGGCACUGAAGGACGAGCCUGCGGCCCAUCAGCUAGUUGGUGAGGUAAGAGCUCACCAAGGCUAAGACGGGUAGCUGGUCUGAGAGGAUGAUCAGCCACACUGGAACUGAGACACGGUCCAGACUCCUACGGGAGGCAGCAGUGGGGAAUAUUGCGCAAUGGGCGAAAGCCUGACGCAGCCACGCCGCGUGAGCGAUGAAGGCCUCGGUCGUAAGACUCUGUGGGAGGAGACGAAGAAGA
Molecule: ribosomal RNA, 419 nt
Filed under: uncultured bacterium
Lineage: Bacteria
Description: bacterial SSU rRNA
Rfam family: Bacterial small subunit ribosomal RNA
Source: RNAcentral